UUGUAGAACAUGCCGCCUGAUGGGUUACAUCAGGACCGCGUGCGCACCGGUAAUGAUCAUGGACAUAAGGUUAUUAUGGAUUUGUUUGCCCUGAUCGAGCAUUGCUCUCUGGGCUGAGUUCAGUUGAUUGCCGGAGUUAAGGUCCCUGAUCGAGCGAUGCUCUCUGGGCGCUGGCUUAUUUGGAAUUCAAGUGUUCAGGCUGGAGGUAAGGACCCUGAUCGAGCUUGCUCUCUGGGCGCCAGACCUGUUGGAUUAAGAGAGCCGAAAGGCUACUAGAAUUUGGGGUUUAGGGUUCUACCGAGCCACUCGUCCCGUAAAAGUAAAUAUAUAUUUUUAUUUAUUUAUUUAUUAUGGUAUUUGAUUAUAAUGUGAUUUGUAUUUACGUGCAUGGUUGAUAUUUUGAUUCGAAUGAUUAAUAUUUUAUGUGAAGGAAAUAGUAGGGUAUGAUUAUAGUAUGGUUUGAUAUACUGAUUUGAAUAAUCUAUGUUUUUCUGAGAAGAAGCAAUAGUCCCUAGAUUAUUUGAUUUUAACUCACUCUCGAGACUGACAGUCUCCAUUUAUGUUUUUUUCAGAUUCGUGACUGUUAGUUCUCCCGCGACUCUUAUUCAGUAACCCGACUCCUUCAUCAUCGGGUGAUGUAUUUGAUUUGGUAUGUAAAUUGGUAAAUCUUAGAUUCUCC
Molecule: long non-coding RNA, 679 nt
Filed under: Ricinus communis (castor bean)
Lineage: Eukaryota; Viridiplantae; Streptophyta; Magnoliopsida; Malpighiales; Euphorbiaceae
Description: long non-coding RNA (RCOM_LNC000336)
Source: RNAcentral